CCCUUAGAUGUUCUGGGCCGCACGCGCGCUACACUGACGAUGGCAACGAGUUUUUCCUUCGCCGAAAGGUGUGGGUAAUCUUUUGAAACAUCGUCGUGCUGGGGAUAGAUCAUUGCAAUUUUUGAUCUUGAACGAGGAAUUCCUAGUAAGCGCGAGUCAUCAGCUCGCGUUGAUUACGUCCCUGCCCUUUGUACACACCGCCCGUCGCUACUACCGAUUGAAUGGUUUAGUGAGGACUCCUGAUUGGCGCCGCUGCCCCGGCAACGGAGCAGCGGACUGCCGAAAAGUUGUUCAAACUUGAUCAUUUAGAGGAAGUAAAAGUCGUAACA
Molecule: ribosomal RNA, 329 nt
Filed under: uncultured eukaryote
Lineage: Eukaryota
Description: partial 18S ribosomal RNA
Rfam family: Eukaryotic small subunit ribosomal RNA
Source: RNAcentral